Molecule: long non-coding RNA, 1454 nt
Filed under: Accipiter nisus (Eurasian sparrowhawk)
Lineage: Eukaryota; Metazoa; Chordata; Aves; Accipitriformes; Accipitridae
Description: lncRNA (ENSANIG00000009423.1)
Source: RNAcentral
AAAGAAUGAUUUUAAUCAUACAUUAAUCAUGGUUUACAUGCUGGCUGUUUGGCAUGCAGCAUCUGGAUCUAUUUGUCCUGUGCUAAGGGGAUGCAGAGAAGACAACAUGAUCAUAAUCUGUGAUUUAAUUUAGGUUUUAUUUAUUUGCUUUGCUUUCUUUGAGUUGCAUUCCCAGAUGUACCAUGAUUAGGACAGUAACUGUGAUUCUAUGGACAAGCAAAUCUGCAUCAACCAACCUGUCUAGACUACGAAGAGAAAUGAUUUGCGCGUGCCUGUAAAGACAGUAGUAAUUCCUUUAAGAUUUAUUCUAGUUUUUCUAGAAAAACUUUAUUAGCUGCUCAUGGCAUAUUGCCACAAGACAGACAAAAGAUCUUAAGGAUUAAUUCUAAAAUAAUGGCUUGAAGAAAAAAAUAAUCUUCAAAUGCUUUUGUUGCUAGAAGUGUGGGGAGCUCCCGUACAAGGAACCUUAGAAUUUCAGUACGUAUCGAGCCUAAUUCAUAUUUAUUAGUCAACAGCAACUUAGCAGUACUGUUUUCCAAAAACAUCCGUUACUCAAGAAACGUUAUCCUGUAGCAGGAGAUACCCUCGGAUAUUAAUUUUAUACCAGCAUCUCUUCCCAUUAAGAAAGGAACAGAAGGAAAAAAGGGGGAGGAGGCCAUUACCUGCGACUACUUCCAGGACGCGACCCCGAAAACCACUUUUUGAGCUGCUCCUGCCCGUGGCUGUCCCGCAAGCGAGGGAGCACCCGUUACACUGCGCUGCGCUGCACCCCGGCCCCGGCCCGCGGGGCCCGCAGGCGCUGAGGGCGGCGGGGCCCUACCGCCAUCUCGGCUCCCGCCCGCCGGCGGACGGCUCCGCCGCUUUUUCAACAACAGCACGGGUAUUUCUCUUUCCUUUACUUCGGUCUUGGCGUACAAGCGCGGCUCUUGGAAGAGACGGACCCUGACCGCAGCAGAACCUCAGCGUACGGGCUAUACCACUCGUCAGACUGCGCCAGCCUUGGGCUAAGGCCGGGGCUUGCGGGAAGACGCUCAGACCGGCCGUCCCGCUCCCUUGGGGUGACCGACCCGCCGGGCCGCAGCCGAAGGGCGGGCGGCACCCCCUGGCCCGGGCGGGGCGGAGGGGGGCUUGGGACUCCCCGAGCCCCGGCUGGGCGGCGGCCGAGGGGCAGCGGGUUUGCGGGGCGGGGCAGGCUGGGGGGCCGGAGCGCAGAGGCGGGUGGCGGGCAGGAAGGAAAGCUACCAGAGAAGCGGGGCGGGGGCGGCGGCAGCGGCAGGUCCGCCCGCCCCGGGGCUGCGGCCGUGAGGGGCCGCCCGGGCCCGCCCGCCCGCGCCGCCCGGCCAAUGGGAGCGGCGGUUGUUAGCGGGCCGGGAGGUGGCGGCGUUGCCACAGCAGCGGCGGGGCUGGGGCUGCAGCCGGUGGUCGGGGUGCGCCAUGGAGGGGCUGGAAGGUGA